UUAAAAUUUUGUGUAAUGAGGUUGUAUAAAAUAUUUUUGUAUGUCUAUUAAGUUAGUAAAGUUUAUUGAAUUAGAAAUAAACACCUAUAGGGAUUGUACUGUAAAGGUAAUUGAAUUAAAAUAUAAAAAAAUUAUAAAGAAAGUUUUAGACUUUACCUUUUGUAUUAUGGAGAACUUAAUAAUAAAAGAAGUUUCUUUAUAAACGAAAUAAUAUGAUUUAUCUUUUUCCCUGUAAUUGGCAGAAAGUUUAACUGUAGAAAAAGUAUGAGCUGGAGGAAAAGAUAGAAGUGAAAUGCUAAUCGAAUAUUAUGAUAGCUUUUUUCUGAGUAAAUUAGUAUAAGCUAAAUAAGAAUUAAUUCUUUGGAGAAUUUAUUGGUUGAUCAGUAGACUCUUGGAGGUAAACCUUUUUAUUUGAGAAAAGACAAUAAAUUGUAGAGUUAGCUAAGAAGUAGGGUUUAAGCAUUUUUCUAGAAAGAGAGCGUUUGAGCUCCUUAAUAGCUUGUUUUUAUAAUAAUUGAAAGACUUCUGUGCUCAUAAUGUUAGUACUUAGAUAUUGAUUUAGAUCAUGAAAUAAUGGUUCUAUGAGUAAAAUUUCUCAGUUUUAUAUAAUAAAAUAAUUUGAUUAUGUGCAAUUUUAAUUACUAAAAAAUGUUCUUAUAUUAGAUGAGAAAUAGUAUAUAAAUAUAGGGAAAGGAACUCGGCAAAAUUUCUCUCGCCUGUUUACCUAAAACAUCGCCCCCAGAAAAUUAUUGAGGGGUCUUGCCUGCCCAGUGAUAAAUAUUUAACGGCUGCGGUAUUUUGACCGUACAAAGGUAGCAUAAUCAUUUGCCUAUUAAUUGUAGGCUGGAAUCAAUGGCUGGACGAAGAGAAAACUGUCUCUCUUUAUAAAAAUUGAAUUUAGUAUUUUGGUGAAGAAACCAAAAUAAUAAAAUGGGACGAGAAGACCCUAUUGAGCUUUAGCUUUUUUCUAUAAAUAUUUAUAGAUACAAAGUUUUGGUUGGGGCAACUAAUCUUAUAAUAAGACAAGGUUAAUUAGUGAAAGAAUUAAAUCUAAAUUUGACCCAUAAUUUUAGGGUAUUAAGAAAAAGUUACCAUAGGGAUAACAGCGUAAUUUUCUUUGAGAGUACAUAUUGACAAGAAAGUUUGCGACCUCGAUGUUGGAUCAAGAUAUCCUGGAGGUGUAGCCGUUUCCAAGGGUGGGUUUGUUCAACCUAUAAAAUCUUACGCGAUCUGAGUUCAGUCCGUCGUAAGACAGGACAGUUUCUAUCUAUUAAAUAUUCCUUUUUGUACGAAAGGACUCUAGGAAAAUAAAUAAAGACUAAAGUUUAUUUAUAAAUAAUAUUAGAAAAAAUAAUAUA
RNAcentral lists this ribosomal RNA (1358 nucleotides) under Ophiosteira antarctica. RNAcentral's name for it is "16S ribosomal RNA". It matches the Rfam family "Bacterial large subunit ribosomal RNA". The record is from RNAcentral. Lineage: Eukaryota; Metazoa; Echinodermata; Ophiuroidea; Amphilepidida; Ophiuridae.